UCGGGAAUUUUGGGCAAUGGGCGAAAGCCUGACCCAGCAACGCCGCGUGAAGGAUGAAGCUUUUCGGAGUGUAAACUUCACAAGAAUGGGAAGAAUAAGUGUGGGAUAAUACCCUUCACGAUGACGGUACCAUUUGUAAGCUCCGGCUAACUCCGUGCCAGCAGCCGCGGUAAUACGGGGGGAGCAAGCGUUGUUCGGAUUUACUGGGCGUAAAGGGCGCGUAGGCGGCGCGACAAGUCACUUGUGAAAUCUCUGGGCUCAACCCAGAACGGUCAAGUGAUACUGUCGUGCUAGAGUGCGGAAGGGGCAACUGGAAUUCUUGGUGUAGCGGUGAAAUGCGUAGAUAUCAAGAGGAACACCUGCGGCGAAGGCGGGUUGCUGGGCCGACACUGACGCUGAGGCGCGAAAGCUAGGGGAGCGAACGG
This 425-nucleotide ribosomal RNA is filed under the name uncultured bacterium. RNAcentral's name for it is "bacterial SSU rRNA". It matches the Rfam family "Bacterial small subunit ribosomal RNA", at positions 355 to 775 of the family's 1533-position model. The record is from RNAcentral.